RNAcentral lists this ribosomal RNA (429 nucleotides) under Actinomycetes bacterium. RNAcentral's name for it is "Actinobacteria bacterium partial 16S ribosomal RNA". It matches the Rfam family "Bacterial small subunit ribosomal RNA", at positions 355 to 776 of the family's 1533-position model. Lineage: Bacteria; Bacillati; Actinomycetota; Actinomycetes. The record is from RNAcentral.
UAGGGAAUCUUCCGCAAUGGGCGAAAGCCUGACGGAGCAACGCCGCGUGAGUGAUGAAGGUCUUCGGAUCGUAAAACUCUGUUAUUAGGGAAGAACAAAUGUGUAAGUAACUAUGCACGUCUUGACGGUACCUAAUCAGAAAGCCACGGCUAACUACGUGCCAGCAGCCGCGGUAAUACGUAGGUGGCAAGCGUUAUCCGGAAUUAUUGGGCGUAAAGCGCGCGUAGGCGGUUUUUUAAGUCUGAUGUGAAAGCCCACGGCUCAACCGUGGAGGGUCAUUGGAAACUGGAAAACUUGAGUGCAGAAGAGGAAAGUGGAUUUCCAUGUGUAGCGGUGAAAUGCGCAGAGAUAUGGAGGAACACCAGUGGCGAAGGCGACUUUCUGGUCUGUAACUGACGCUGAUGUGCGAAAGCGUGGGGAUCAAACAGG